CAAGCGGACCGGACGGUCGCUCUUGCCGCGUGGACGGUCGCCUUCGGCGACGCAGCGCGCGGCCGGGAGAGGAAAGUCCGAACUCCAUAGAGCGGUGUGCCGGAUAACAUCCGGGAGGUCCGCCUUCAAGGGCGGAUCGACGGAAAGUGCCACAGAAAACAUACCGCCCCGAUUCGUCGGGGUAAGGGUGAAAAGGUGCGGUAAGAGCGCACCGCCUGGGCAGCAAUGUCCAGGGCAAGGCAAACCCCACACGGAGCAAGACCAAAUAGGGAAGGAGCCCCGAAAGGUCGGGGCACGGGCCGGCUCGGCGCGUGCAACUUCCGGGUAGGUCGCUUGAGCCCCGCCGCGAGGUGUGGCCUAGAGGAAUGACCGUCCUCCGGCUUCGGCCGGGGACAGAAUUCGGCUUACAGGUCCGGUUGUCAU
Molecule: RNase P RNA, 423 nt
Filed under: Acidobacteriota bacterium
Lineage: Bacteria; Pseudomonadati; Acidobacteriota
Description: RNase P RNA component class A
Rfam family: Bacterial RNase P class A
About the family: Ribonuclease P (RNase P) is a ubiquitous endoribonuclease, found in archaea, bacteria and eukarya as well as chloroplasts and mitochondria.
Source: RNAcentral